Molecule: long non-coding RNA, 380 nt
Organism: Triticum dicoccoides
Lineage: Eukaryota; Viridiplantae; Streptophyta; Magnoliopsida; Poales; Poaceae
Exons: 3
Source: RefSeq, a predicted model, not a curated record
GAGCCAAAGCUAUUUCCUGGUCUGAUUUCUCCUAGGUGUACUCUGCUUUCUGGUGUCUGAUCUGAUGGCAAGAAUAUUGUGUCGACUAUCAACCUGGACUUUAAAUUGGAUCUGAAAGCAAUAGCUCUCCAGGCACGCAAUGCAGAGUAUAACCACAAGUAUGAGCCAAAGCUAUUUCCUGGUCUGAUUUCUCCUAGGUGUACUCUGCUUUCUGGUGUCUGAUCUGAUGGCAAGAAUAUUGUGUCGACUAUCAACCUGGACUUUAAAUUGGAUCUGAAAGCAAUAGCUCUCCAGGCACGCAAUGCAGAGUAUAACCACAAGAUGGUGGAGCCCAGGAGCCAGGCGACACCACCGACGACUGCUACUACCCCGAGGGUGCC